AGAGAUCUCGACAUAGCUCUUGGUUCGAGAGAAUGAUGAACGCAAUGAGCUCUGCUUGCUCAUUAAGAGGACCCGCAGCUGAAUCGGAGGAUGAUGUGCUUUCACGAGGACUAAUUCAACUGACGUUUCAUAGCGAUUUUGGUUAAGGGACCCUCUACGUCGGGCUGGCGACUCUAAAACUAGCGCUUGGUGGGAGGCAACCCACCGUGGUUUGGUUUUUGUUUUUGUUUUUCUUGUUCUUUGUUUUCCGAUUUUUUGUUUUUGUGUUUUCCUAAGUUUUGGCUGCUUGUGCGGAUACUUUGAUUUCUGGGUGUUAACAUCUUUAUUUUCAGCGCUGCAAUUUCUACUCGUACUCUACUGCCAGCGCUAAAUAGCCAGCUCUGCACUGGACAGAGCUGAAUUCUACUCUGCAGUUGCCAGCGCUGCC
This 427-nucleotide long non-coding RNA is filed under the name Salvia miltiorrhiza (redroot sage). Its description in RNAcentral is "long non-coding RNA (SMIL_LNC013570)". Lineage: Eukaryota; Viridiplantae; Streptophyta; Magnoliopsida; Lamiales; Lamiaceae. The record is from RNAcentral.